CGUGGCUGAAGGUUUCUCACCGAAAUCUACAUGAUAGCUGUCAAUGUUCGUUAGAAAGACUGCCCCGGCGUCGGUUGGAAUCAGUCAGCUUACUCCAGUCGAAUCAGCAUGAGUUGGGGUUCCUUGCCAAUGUCUUCCUCCUCUUCGUUUUUGCAGAGUUCUUGGGGGAAUGAUCAGCCUGACAACAUAAUUGCUGCUAUCGACGAUUUCCUAGCUUUUGAUGAAGAUCCGCAGACGGCACAUGCCGUGCUCUCUCCUGCAAGUCAGCAGCAGAGUCCGGAGUUCUUCCAGGAUCAUGACAAAAAUGAGAACAAGUCGAAGGGCUCUUUGAGGGGGAGUAGCAGCGGGAGCAGAGUUGCAUUCAGAACCAAGUCAGAGCUUGAGGUAUUGGAUGAUGGAUACAAGUGGAGGAAGUACGGGAGGAAGAAGAUGAAGAACAGCCCAUAUCCGAGGAACUACUACCGCUGCUCGACCGUAGGAUGCAACGUGAAGAAGACAGUGGAGAGAGAGCGAGAAGACUCGAGGUUUGUGUUAACGACCUACGAAGGCACUCAUAACCAUCAUGCACCCCUGCCUGCAACCACACUGCAUCAGAGGCUGGAAGGCCUCCCUCACACGGAAUACUAGCAACACUUGGGGAAUUAAAGGAUCCAUGCCAUUUGAAGAAGAAGUUGGAGGUGUAGCGGUGUUUGCGUCGUGUCAUAAAACUAGUGCAAAUUUACAUUCCUUUUUCUAUGUUGCUAUACAAAAAAAUUAGAUUAACAUAUUAGAAAGAGUGGUCCGCUUAUUAUC
Musa acuminata AAA Group (dessert banana) is the source of this 792-nucleotide long non-coding RNA. RefSeq lists it as uncharacterized. The record is from RefSeq and is a predicted model, not a curated record. The transcript has 3 exons. NCBI's taxonomy places the organism in Eukaryota, Viridiplantae, Streptophyta, Magnoliopsida, Zingiberales, Musaceae.